Molecule: small RNA, 101 nt
Filed under: marine eukaryotic metagenome
Description: t44 RNA
Rfam family: t44 RNA
About the family: This family consists of a number of bacterial RNA genes of between 135 and 170 bases in length. The t44 gene is found between the map and rpsB genes in all species in the full alignment apart from Shigella flexneri.
Source: RNAcentral
AUAUUAACUAACGUCGCACAUAUACCGUCACAUGUGAUCCGGGUGCCCGGCCGGCAGAAUCUGCCAGUAGGGUUGAUCCAUGGGGUGUAUGGAGGCCUAAC